This is a small nuclear RNA of Peromyscus californicus insignis, 191 nucleotides long. RefSeq annotates it as U2 spliceosomal RNA. The record is from RefSeq and is a predicted model, not a curated record. Lineage: Eukaryota; Metazoa; Chordata; Mammalia; Rodentia; Cricetidae. The transcript has a single exon.
GAUGCUUCUCGGCCUUUUGGCUAAGAUCAAGUGUAGUAUCUGUUCUUAUCAGUUUAAUGUCUGAUACAUCCUCUAUCCAAGGACAAUAUAUUAAAUGGAUUUUUGGAACUAGGAGUUGGAAUAGGAGCUUGCUCUGCGCAUUCCACCCAUUAAUCUGGUAUUGCUGUACCUCCAGGAACGGUGCAGGGAAG